CCUACUGGUGGCAGCAGUUAGGAGUAUUGGUCAAUGGGCGGAAGCCUGAACCAGCCAAGUCGCGUGAGGGAGUAAGGCCCUACGGGUCGUAAACCUCUUUUGCCGGGGAGCAGUGCCCAGCUCGUGAGCUGGGAGGGAGCGUACCCGGAGAAAAAGCAUCGGCGAACUCCGUCCCAGCAGCCGCGUUAAUACGGAGGAUGCGAGCGUUAUACGGAUUUAUUGGGUUUAAAGGGUGCGUAGGCGGGCCUUCAGGCCGGCGGGAAAAUUGCGGGGCUCAACCCCGCCGAGCCGUCGGAACCGGGGGCCUUGAGUACCGGAGAAGUACGCGGAAUGCGUGGUGUAGCGGUGAAAUGCAUAGAUAUCACGCAGAACCCCGAUUGCGAAGGCAGCGUACCGGCCGGUCACUGACGCUGAGGCACGAAAGCGCGGGUAUCGAACAGGAUUAGAUACCCGGGUAGUC
This 460-nucleotide ribosomal RNA is filed under the name uncultured bacterium. RNAcentral describes it as "partial 16S ribosomal RNA". It matches the Rfam family "Bacterial small subunit ribosomal RNA", at positions 338 to 795 of the family's 1533-position model. The record is from RNAcentral.